RNAcentral lists this ribosomal RNA (468 nucleotides) under uncultured bacterium. Its description in RNAcentral is "partial 16S ribosomal RNA". It matches the Rfam family "Bacterial small subunit ribosomal RNA", at positions 28 to 507 of the family's 1533-position model. The record is from RNAcentral.
GACGAACGCUGGCGGCGUGCUUAACACGUGCAAGUCGAACGGAAAAGCCCUGCUUUUGUGGGGUGCUCGAGUGGCGAACGGGUGAGUAACACGUGAGUAACCUGCCCUUGACUUUGGGAUAACUUCAGGAAACUGGGGCUAAUACCGGAUAGGAGCUCCUGCUGCAUGGUGGGGGUUGGAAAGUUUCGGCGGUUGGGGAUGGACUCGCGGCUUAUCAGCUUGUUGGUGGGGUAGUGGCUUACCAAGGCUUUGACGGGUAGCCGGCCUGAGAGGGUGACCGGCCACAUUGGGACUGAGAUACGGCCCAGACUCCUACGGGAGGCAGCAGUGGGGAAUAUUGCACAAUGGGCGGAAGCCUGAUGCAGCAACGCCGCGUGCGGGAUGACGGCCUUCGGGUUGUAAACCGCUUUCGCCUGUGACGAAGCGUGAGUGACGGUAAUGGGUAAAGAAGCACCGGCUAACUACGUG